GGAUUGGAGGGGAUCAAUGAGUCUGUUCUGUGGGGAUUCAGUUGAAGAGGUGUUUCUUGAGCUAUGGUUGUGCUUGAUCAGUAGUCUUCCUGCUGGAUUCCUGCUUGAUCCGAUUGAUAGCAGCAAGCGAGGUGCUGUUCAGUGGGUUGUCUAGCUCCAGCAACAGCUACCCUUCCUGGCAACACCACUUCUUCGUGUGGAUCUACAGAUCAGAGCUAGGGAUUAAGAGGAGUGAAUUCCAAAUAGGUUCUGUUCUGUCCUGUUUUGUGGAUUGGUUGGCUUCAGCAGUAACUCAUCUUGGUCUCGGCAGCAACAAUCCUCUUGUCCCAACAGCCACAGUAGCUGUGGAAUUGAGGUUGAGGCCGUCGGGAGAUAUUCCAGUCGCUAGCCCCAUUAUCGCGAGGAUUUUCUUUGUCGGAUUAUAUUUUGCUUUUGCAUCUUAUAUACUUGUAUUGUGGGUUUGUAUUGUGGACUUCACAUUGAACAUUCAGGUUUGCUACUUUUUGUUUUC
Molecule: long non-coding RNA, 511 nt
Organism: Zingiber officinale
Lineage: Eukaryota; Viridiplantae; Streptophyta; Magnoliopsida; Zingiberales; Zingiberaceae
Exons: 4
Source: RefSeq, a predicted model, not a curated record